UUCCAGCUGACGAGUCCCAAAUAGAACGAAAUGCGCGUCCUGGAU
Molecule: non-coding RNA, 45 nt
Filed under: Schistosoma mansoni
Lineage: Eukaryota; Metazoa; Platyhelminthes; Trematoda; Strigeidida; Schistosomatidae
Source: RNAcentral